This 497-nucleotide ribosomal RNA is filed under the name uncultured bacterium. RNAcentral's name for it is "partial 16S ribosomal RNA". It matches the Rfam family "Bacterial small subunit ribosomal RNA", at positions 28 to 507 of the family's 1533-position model. The record is from RNAcentral.
GAUGAACGCUGGCGGCGUGCCUAAUACAUGCAAGUCGAGCGAACGGACGAGAAGCUUGCUUCUCUGAUGUUAGCGGCGGACGGGUGAGUAACACGUGGAUAACCUACCUAUAAGACUGGGAUAACUUCGGGAAACCGUAGCUAAUACCGGAUAAUAUUUUGAACCGCAUGGUUCAAAAGUGAAAGACGGUCUUGCUGUCACUUAUAGAUGGAUCCGCGCUGCAUUAGCUAGUCGGUAAGGUAACGGCUUACCAAGGCAACGAUGCAUAGCCGACCUGAGAGGGUGAUCGGCCACACGGGAGCUGAGACACGGUCCAGACUCCUACGGGAGGCAGCAGUAGGGAAUCUUCCGCAAUGGGCGAAAGCCUGACGGAGCAACGCCGCGUGAGUGAUGAAGGUCUUCGGAUCGUAAAACUCUGUUAUUAGGGAAGAACAUAUGUGUAAGUAACUGUGCACAUCUUGACGGUACCUAAUCAGAAAGCCCCGGCUAACUACGUG